AACAAUAAGCUUCAAUCAACUCCCCGAGCCAGCUGAGUCCGGUCUGGGUGACUUCCAAAGCGUGCGGAGGCAGGGCGCACCCGAGCCGCCGCCGCCUGUCAGCGCCGAGGAGCCCCUGCAGCCCGGGGCCCGCAACUGCGCCACUGCCGGCGGCAGCUGCCCUCUCCUCACCGCCUGCGCUGCUUCCUUCCGCGGGCUGCGCCGUACUGCUGUCUGGAAGGUGGCUGCAGGCUUGCAGCUGUGGCUCUUUGGCAGCUGGCAGAACUCUCAUCAGUGAUUCAAGCACCAGAAUACCUUCCUUGGUUGCCAUCCUAUUGCAAAGUCAGGUGCAAGAAAGGGCAGCGGAGAAACAGAUCAGUGGCCAAUGGACAGAUGAGACAGCACUUUUCCACUGUAAGGUAACAAAAUCGUGCCCCUCACCUAACCCUUCUCAUCCAGAGCAGGUGUUCACAUGCCAGUUCUGUCACCUUUGAACUUAAUGAAGCUUUGCGUGUCAAGUAUGUCAUAGCAGAAGACCAACACUUUGGUAUGACCUUGCAACUGAAGUAACAUGCAAAAGCUGUUCCUAAGAAACACCACUCAUUCACCCAAGUGAAAUUCUGAUUUGCUAGCUGCAGCCUGGCAACAUAAUGUAUUCACAAGACCUAAGGAUAAACAUGAAUUGAGGCUUCUGGAAAAGGAUGUUAUUUGUUCCUUGCUCAGCUUACUAGCUCUCUAACCACAAUCUGCAAAUACCUCUGUAAAAUGGCAGAUUGCUGUGCUUCAACUCUUUCACCAGGGCUGCAGAAAAGAACCUGAGCUAAAUUAAGUUUUCUCUUUCACCAGGGCUGUGGGUUGCUUGGUUUUGUUUUCUUGAAAUUGUUUCUUGCACCUUAAGUAUUUCAGUAUAAAACUGUGCUACA
This is a long non-coding RNA of Pogoniulus pusillus (Red-fronted tinkerbird), 902 nucleotides long. RefSeq lists it as uncharacterized. The record is from RefSeq and is a predicted model, not a curated record. The transcript has 3 exons. NCBI's taxonomy places the organism in Eukaryota, Metazoa, Chordata, Aves, Piciformes, Lybiidae.